GGAAUAUUGGACAAUGGGCGAGAGCCUGAUCCAGCCAUGCCGCGCGCAGGAAGACGGCCCUAUGGGUUGUAAACUGCUUUUAUACAGGAAGAAACACUCCCUCGUGAGGGAGCUUGACGGUACUGUAAGAAUAAGGAUCGGCUAACUCCGUGCCAGCAGCCGCGGUAAUACGGAGGAUCCAAGCGUUAUCCGGAAUCAUUGGGUUUAAAGGGUCCGUAGGCGGGAUAAUAAGUCAGCGGUGAAAGUCUGUGGCUCAACCAUAGAAUUGCCAUUGAUACUGUUGUUCUUGAGUGCUUAUGAAGUGGUUAGAAUAUGUAGUGUAGCGGUGAAAUGCAUAGAUAUUACAUGGAAUACCGAUUGCGAAGGCAGAUCACUAAUAAGAUACUGACGCUGAUGGACGAAAGCGUGGGUAGCGAAC
This 418-nucleotide ribosomal RNA is filed under the name uncultured bacterium. RNAcentral describes it as "bacterial SSU rRNA". It matches the Rfam family "Bacterial small subunit ribosomal RNA", at positions 358 to 773 of the family's 1533-position model. The record is from RNAcentral.